This 253-nucleotide ribosomal RNA is filed under the name uncultured bacterium. Its description in RNAcentral is "partial 16S ribosomal RNA". It matches the Rfam family "Bacterial small subunit ribosomal RNA", at positions 524 to 776 of the family's 1533-position model. The record is from RNAcentral.
UACUAAGGGGGCUAGCGUUGCUCGGAAUUACUGGGCGUAAAGCGCACGUAGGCGGGUUCUUAAGUCGGUGGUGAAAUCCUGGAGCUCAACUCCAGAACUGCCUUCGAAACUGGGAAUCUUGAGUCCGGGAGAGGUGAGUGGAACUGCGAGUGUAGAGGUGAAAUUCGUAGAUAUUCGCAAGAACACCAGUGGCGAAGGCGGCUCACUGGCCCGGUACUGACGCUGAGGUGCGAAAGCGUGGGGAGCAAACAGG